UACGUAGGGUGCGAGCGUUGUCCGGAAUUAUUGGGCGUAAAGGGCUCGUAGGCGGUCUGUUGCGUCGGGAGUGAAAACUCAGGGCUUAACCCUGAGCCUGCUUCCGAUACGGGCAGACUAGAGGUAUGCAGGGGAGAACGGAAUUCCUGGUGUAGCGGUGAAAUGCGCAGAUAUCAGGAGGAACACCGGUGGCGAAGGCGGGUCUCUGGGCCGAUACUGACGCUGAGGAGCGAAAGCAUGGGUAGCGAACAGG
This 253-nucleotide ribosomal RNA is filed under the name uncultured bacterium. RNAcentral's name for it is "partial 16S ribosomal RNA". It matches the Rfam family "Bacterial small subunit ribosomal RNA", at positions 524 to 776 of the family's 1533-position model. The record is from RNAcentral.